This 546-nucleotide long non-coding RNA is filed under the name Nicotiana tabacum (common tobacco). RNAcentral's name for it is "long non-coding RNA (NTAB_LNC008373)". Lineage: Eukaryota; Viridiplantae; Streptophyta; Magnoliopsida; Solanales; Solanaceae. The record is from RNAcentral.
GUCCGUCCGAUUCAGCGAGCCAUUCUCAUCCACGGCCAUGAUUAUUCCUUCUUUCAGCAACUAUGUGUGUGUGUCACAGUGCCCAAAGACUGUUCCUUUUUCUCCUUUUCUUUAACUCUUUUUUCCUAAUUUGGGUUCUGUCGAAAAAGCAAACCAAAAAAAAGAUCAGUCCUUUCAUUUCCAAUUUUAUCAAGCUGGUGUUUUAAUAUUACAGUUUUUGGUCCACAAUAUGAGCCAAAAGGAAAAAAAAAGAAGAAUAAAUUGGAAAUCGGUAAUUCAUACCUGAUGAGUCUAAAGGGUGUCCAUUAAUCAAAGAACACAAAACCCAAACUCAAAGAUUGUGAGCAAAAACAGGGUAAGACUUUCCUUUUUUUUUUUCGUUGAUUUUACUGAGUCUGCAGAAACAAAAACAGAAUAAAUGACGACAGAGAAAGAGAUAGAGAAAUAGGAGAAUUCUGUAGUACAGUAGAGAGGGAGUAUUUUAGUUCUUUGGAUGGUCCGUUUUGCCACAGCUCAUUUUGUUUUGGACUUUGUUUACUGGUAAGC